Molecule: ribosomal RNA, 504 nt
Filed under: Laeops kitaharae
Lineage: Eukaryota; Metazoa; Chordata; Actinopteri; Pleuronectiformes; Bothidae
Description: partial 16S ribosomal RNA
Rfam family: Bacterial large subunit ribosomal RNA
Source: RNAcentral
AAUCACUUGUCUUUUAAAUGGGGACCUGUAUGAAAGGUAUUACGAGGGCUUAACUGUCUCCUCUUUCUAGUCAAUGAAAUUGAUCUCUCCGUGCAGAAGCGGGGAUCUAGCCAUAAGACGAGAAGACCCUGUGGAGCUUGAGACACCAGAGCAGCCCACGUCCAAAACCCCAUCAAAGGACCGAACUGAGUGGCAUCUGCCCCAAUGUCUUCGGUUGGGGUGACCAUGGGGAAAGCAAAACCCCCACGCGGACCGGGAGCACUAGAGGAACUUUUCCCAACCAUACAACCAAACUCCUAAAAGCUAGAGCCCCAACUCUAACUAAACGAAACAUUCGACCUAGACUGAUCCGGCAUAGCCGAUCAACGGACUAAGUUACCCCAGGGAUAACAGCGCUAUCCCCUUCCAGAGCCCAUAUCGCCAAGGGGGUUUACGACCUCGAUGUUGGAUCAGGGCAUCCUAAUGGUGCAACCGCUAUUAAGGGUUCGUUUGUUCAACGAUUAA